CCUACGGGCGGCUGCAGUGGGGAAUAUUGGACAAUGGGCGAAAGCCUGAUCCAGCAUGCCGCGUGUGUGAAGAAGGCCUUCGGGUUGUAAAGCACUUUCAGUGGGGAAGAAAGCCUUGGGGCUAAUACCCUCGAGGAAGGACAUCACCCACAGAAGAAGCACCGGCUAACUCCGUGCCAGCAGCCGCGGUAAUACGGAGGGUGCGAGCGUUAAUCGGAAUUACUGGGCGUAAAGCGCGCGUAGGCGGUCUGAUAAGCCGGUUGUGAAAGCCCCGGGCUCAACCUGGGAACGGCAUCCGGAACUGUCAGGCUAGAGUGCAGGAGAGGAAGGUAGAAUUCCCGGUGUAGCGGUGAAAUGCGUAGAGAUCGGGAGGAAUACCAGUGGCGAAGGCGGCCUUCUGGACUGACACUGACGCUGAGGUGCGAAAGCGUGGGUAGCAAACAGGAUUAGAUACCCCAGUGUC
This 463-nucleotide ribosomal RNA is filed under the name Vreelandella stevensii. RNAcentral describes it as "partial 16S ribosomal RNA". It matches the Rfam family "Bacterial small subunit ribosomal RNA", at positions 338 to 795 of the family's 1533-position model. The record is from RNAcentral. Lineage: Bacteria; Pseudomonadati; Pseudomonadota; Gammaproteobacteria; Oceanospirillales; Halomonadaceae.